Molecule: ribosomal RNA, 745 nt
Filed under: Escherichia coli
Lineage: Bacteria; Pseudomonadati; Pseudomonadota; Gammaproteobacteria; Enterobacterales; Enterobacteriaceae
Description: partial 23S ribosomal RNA
Rfam family: Bacterial large subunit ribosomal RNA
Source: RNAcentral
UGGGGGGACCAUCCUCCAAGGCUAAAUACUCCUGACUGACCGAUAGUGAACCAGUACCGUGAGGGAAAGGCGAAAAGAACCCCGGCGAGGGGAGUGAAAAAGAACCUGAAACCGUGUACGUACAAGCAGUGGGAGCACGCUUAGGCGUGUGACUGCGUACCUUUUGUAUAAUGGGUCAGCGACUUAUAUUCUGUAGCAAGGUUAACCGAAUAGGGGAGCCGAAGGGAAACCGAGUCUUAACUGGGCGUUAAGUUGCAGGGUAUAGACCCGAAACCCGGUGAUCUAGCCAUGGGCAGGUUGAAGGUUGGGUAACACUAACUGGAGGACCGAACCGACUAAUGUUGAAAAAUUAGCGGAUGACUUGUGGCUGGGGGUGAAAGGCCAAUCAAACCGGGAGAUAGCUGGUUCUCCCCGAAAGCUAUUUAGGUAGCGCCUCGUGAAUUCAUCUCCGGGGGUAGAGCACUGUUUCGGCAAGGGGGUCAUCCCGACUUACCAACCCGAUGCAAACUGCGAAUACCGGAGAAUGUUAUCACGGGAGACACACGGCGGGUGCUAACGUCCGUCGUGAAGAGGGAAACAACCCAGACCGCCAGCUAAGGUCCCAAAGUCAUGGUUAAGUGGGAAACGAUGUGGGAAGGCCCAGACAGCCAGGAUGUUGGCUUAGAAGCAGCCAUCAUUUAAAGAAAGCGUAAUAGCUCACUGGUCGAGUCGGCCUGCGCGGAAGAUGUAACGGGGCUAAACCAUG